UAGCUCCUCAUAAGAUAUUGUUAAAAACCUCCAACAAAUUUAUAGUUAAAAAAUCAUAACGCAUGCCGCCAUCAUGUGUCAAUAUCCACUUCUCUGGUUUCAACUCAGACAGCCAAGUCCAAGCCUCUACAUUCACUGUCUUGAUCCUACACAUGAUAAAGUUGAGUUUGCGAACUUGAUGAGUGCUCCCUGCUUGCCAUACUGUUCUUUUGAGCUGUGUAUUUUUAAGUGAGUGUUGAAAUUGCUAUAGAUAUAUCUUAAGC
RNAcentral lists this long non-coding RNA (263 nucleotides) under Elaeis guineensis (African oil palm). RNAcentral describes it as "long non-coding RNA (EGUI_LNC074962)". The record is from RNAcentral. Lineage: Eukaryota; Viridiplantae; Streptophyta; Magnoliopsida; Arecales; Arecaceae.